This 253-nucleotide ribosomal RNA is filed under the name uncultured bacterium. RNAcentral describes it as "partial 16S ribosomal RNA". It matches the Rfam family "Bacterial small subunit ribosomal RNA", at positions 524 to 776 of the family's 1533-position model. The record is from RNAcentral.
GACGAACCGUACGAACGUUGUUCGGAAUCACUGGGCUUAAAGGGCGCGUAGGCGGUCUGCCAAGUCUGGGGUGAAAUCCUCCGGCUCAACCGGAGAACGGCCUCGGAUACUGGCGGUCUCGAGGGAGGUAGGGGCGUGCGGAACUAAGGGUGGAGCGGUGAAAUGCGUUGAUAUCCUUAGGAACUCCGGUGGCGAAGGCGGCACGCUGGACCUCUUCUGACGCUGAGGCGCGAAAGCCAGGGGAGCAAACGGG